GAACGCGAAGAACCUUACCACCUUUGACAUCCCGAGACGACUUCCAGAGAUGGAUUUCCUCCCGCAAGGGACUCGGUGACAGGUGCUGCAUGGCUGUCGUCAGCUMGUGUCGUGAGAUGUUGGGUUAAGUCCCGCAACGAGCGCAACCCUCGCCUUUAGUUGCCAUCAUUCAGUUGGGCACUCUAGAGGAACCGCCGGUGAUAAGCCGGAGGAAGGUGGGGAUGACGUCAAGUCCUCAUGGCCCUUACGGGUUGGGCUACACACGUGCUACAAUGGUGGUGACAAUGGGUUAAUCCCCAAAAGCCAUCUCAGUUCGGAUUGGGGUCUGCAACUCGACCCCAUGAAGUCGAAAUCGCUAGUAAUCGCGUAACAGCA
This 375-nucleotide ribosomal RNA is filed under the name uncultured bacterium. Its description in RNAcentral is "bacterial SSU rRNA". It matches the Rfam family "Bacterial small subunit ribosomal RNA", at positions 957 to 1354 of the family's 1533-position model. The record is from RNAcentral.